UGUGAUGCCCAUCUUUUGCUUUCUUCCCUUGGACAAUAAUUGAGAAUAUGCCAUGAAGUCACCCAAAGUCUUGAAACUAAGCAUAUGGUCAUUGAUGUAAGAUAUCUUCAAAUAUUUCAGCGAAGCAAAGCUCUAGACAAGGCUGUGUAUUUUAUUGGAGUCACUGAAAGUUUUUUCAGUUCCUUCUUCAUAACAGAUAGUAACAGCCUGCACUGUGGUUACCUGCAGCUGCACCACUACUCUCACUCUAAGGGGAGUGUGUAAUGCUUAAGCUCAGAUUUUCCUGAGGUAAUGUUGAGUACUGCUGGAAAUGUAACUGUGUGAAUGAUAAUAGACUUUGACAUGUUACUAAUAGUGAUGUAGAUCUUUCUGAUGCAGCAUAUUUUCCAAUAUGCUGCAUAAUAACAGUUUAGUUUUCUAAAAUACUGUUGAAAAAUUUAGCUCUAGCACCAAAUGAGUUAGUUCAGGGGGAUUCUUUAAUAGGUCAUUAAUGAAGUGUUUAGUGAUAGAAAGUAAAGGCUGUCUGCCACACAGUUAUACUAUGUUUCUGUUACUAGUCUAUCAGACCAUACCUUGUAAUAUCUUACCGCAUAUAUUGGGAAUAAGUGGAUAUAAAUUGAAUUUUUAUGACUAUGGGAACUCCAAGCCAGUUAUCUUCUCAUCCAACAUAUGGUAGCUAUGAGGCUGAGAGAUCAGGUUAAUCUGUUUUGACUUUGUUUCACUGUAAAAAUAAUGGUUUCAUUGACAGAUAUGCGUAAUCAUGCAGUAUAAGACUUGUAACACAAGUCUUUCUAAAACUUACCAGCAGAGCUACAGGCUACCAAGUUUACUGUAAUUCCAGUCUAUUGUGUUCCAGACCAGAGGAGGGAGCUCAAGUACCAGAGCAUGUAGAAAUGAUCUGUUUUAGGGGUUAUCUCAUAAAGAGACCAACCUCAGGUUAUCCUUCUCCUGUUUUCCCUCAGCCUUGUAACUUUUCUCUAAAAAAUCUUUUUUCUAUUUCUCUGUUUCUGCUGCAUCUCUUCUGUAUUUUUCUUUUUAUUCUUGUAUCUCUCAGCCUCCUUUGGACUGAAUCCUUUUGGGAUCCUCCCUUGUGGGGAGCCCUGCUUAUCUCAGUUCUUAUUAUUCGAAGAAAACUCCUGAGCUCGUUAGAAUCUUGUUUCUUGGGUUUAUUAAAAGGUUGUCACAAAAUUUCACAGGUCUCUCCAGCCUGGCUACACAAGGUUAUAUCUUUGUAAUCAGGUACAUUUCUUUCUUCUGAUGGUACAAACAAGGCCUUGUGGCACACUUUGUGUCUGAUGCACAAAAUGGCCCCGAAAUACACAAUUCUUUUAUCUUUAUACCUAUUUUUACCCAAUUAACAAUAGACACGUAUAUUAUUUUUCUUAAUGACCCAAUGACCCAUCACCUCUGUGAUGCACUGCGACAUUCUCUAUCCAAUCACUUACUACUACCCAAAAACCUCUAGGAGAAGAACAUGAAGAAGAAAGAAGAAGGGACAAGGGACAAGACCCUAAAUCCUCCAUCUUGUCUCCUGUUCUCUAAACUAACUUUUUCACCCAGUGAUUUAAAAAAACUUUCUAAUCUACACACACUUUUAUCUUUUUCCAUCUAACUUUAACAUUUAUUUCCAUGUAUCACCAUGAAAACAUGCUCAUGAUUUUCAUAUUAUAUGAAAUUCAGUGUUUUUCUGGAUCUUAUAAUUAAGUAUCAGAAACAAGGGCACACACUCUGUAUUCCAGACUCCAACAAGCCUCAGGUUACCCAUCUCUUGUUUUGCAGGUUUGUGCUGUGAGACAAAUAUCAGAUUGCCUGCAUUGCAGGUACAUGGAGUGCUGGGACAUUUUUUGUGAGUAGGGCAGACAUAAGAUAGGGCUGAACAAGUGUUAUGCUCAGACUGUGGGAUCUGAAAAAAUCAGGGUGCAGUUUUGUACUAAGGGAUGCUCUGCAAACUGCUAUCUUUGUAUCAUGCUUCUUCCCAUGUUAGGCUCUGAUUGCUAAGUCCUCUGAUUGUCUACUUGUCACUCAGAGAAGGCAUUCAGGCUUUAGGUUGAAAUAUAGAUUGAGAAUCUUUAGAUGGACAUUUUGGCGUGGAAAUGCUGAAGUGGCUAUUCCAUCACUGUCAUAAGGCUCCGAUUUGGUUUCAGAUAUCCUUUUUGUCUCCCAUUGCUGGAAUUGUUGAAAUAAGCACCUGCUGCAGACAACAACCUAGCCCUCAACUUCACUUUCAUGUGCUACUCAAGGUUUUGCUGUAUGCUGAAGAAUCAUUUCUGUUGAGAAGCACUUCGGUGUCAUGAAGUCAAUAAAUAUACCUUUCACAUUGAACUUAACAAUUUCCAGCAAUGAAUGGUGAUAACGUACCAGGGUGAUGGGUUACAGCUUCAGAGAGACAUGUGCCAUUCUGCAGAAGUCAGUGAAGGUACAGGUUUAUAGAAAAUCAGAUCAUAGACUGCCGAAUAAGAGAUAAUUCCAGUAACUGAAAGAAUGGAAGGAUUUGAAAACUGUUAAUAUUUUCUAUUAGAGCAACUGGGAAAAAAUUUAACUCCUCCUUUGGGUCAAAAAUGUAAGCAUCAGGUAGACUUUUAGAGUACAAUCCCCAAAAGGUUUGUAAUGAUUUAAUGUAUGCUAAGUAAUUCACAAUAAUAAUAAGAGUGUGCAAAUUUUAGAUAAUUAUUGGCUCUGUUAUACCAAAUUAUUUGCAGUAUUUUUGGUUAAAAUAAAAGA
Long non-coding RNA from Poecile atricapillus (Black-capped chickadee), 2721 nucleotides. RefSeq lists it as uncharacterized. The record is from RefSeq and is a predicted model, not a curated record. The transcript is spliced from 3 exons. Lineage: Eukaryota; Metazoa; Chordata; Aves; Passeriformes; Paridae.